Molecule: ribosomal RNA, 497 nt
Filed under: uncultured bacterium
Lineage: Bacteria
Description: partial 16S ribosomal RNA
Rfam family: Bacterial small subunit ribosomal RNA
Source: RNAcentral
GAUGAACGCUGACGGCGUGCCUAAUACAUGCAAGUCGAGCGAACGGACGAGAAGCUUGCUUCUCUGAUGUUAGCGGCGGACGGGUGAGUAACACGUGGAUAACCUACCUAUAAGACUGGGAUAACUUCGGGAAACCGGAGCUAAUACCGGAUAAUAUUUUGAACCGCAUGGUUCAAAAGUGAAGGACGGUCUUGCUGUCACUUAUAGAUGGAUCCGCGCUGCAUUAGCUAGUUGGUAAGGUAACGGCUUACCAAGGCAACGAUGCAUAGCCGACCUGAGAGGGUGAUCGGCCACACUGGAACUGAGACACGGACCAGACUCCUACGGGAGGCAGCAGUAGGGAAUCUUCCGCAAUGGGCGAAAGCCUGACGGAGCAACGCCGCGUGAGUGAUGAAGGUCUUCGGAUCGUAAAACUCUGUUAUUAGGGAAGAACAUAUGUGUAAGUAACUGUGCACAUCUUGACGGUACCUAAUCAGAAAGCCACGGCUAACUACGUG